GAUGAACGCUAGCUACAGGCUUAACACAUGCAAGUCGAGGGGAAACGACAUCGAAAGCUUGCUUCCGAUGGGCGUCGACCGGCACACGGGUGAGUAACGCGUAUCCAACCUGCCCACCACUUGGGGAUAACCUUGCGAAAGUAAGACUAAUACCCAAUGAUAUCUCUAGAAGACAUCUGAAAGAGAUUAAAGAUUUAUCGGUGAUGGAUGGGGAUGCGUCUGAUUGGCUUGUUGGCGGGGUAACGGCCCACCAAGGCGACGAUCAGUAGGGGUUCUGAGAGGAAGGUCCCCCACAUUGGGACUGAGACACGGUCCAAACUCCUACGGGAGGCAGCAGUGAGGAAUAUUGGUCAAUGGACGAGAGUCUGAACCAGCCAAGUAGCGUGCAGGAAGACGGCCCUAUGGGUUGUAAACUGCUUUUAUAAGGGAAUAAAGUGAGUCUCGUGAGACUUUUUGCAUGUACCUUAUGAAUAAGGACCGGCUAAUUCCGUGCCAGCCGCCGCAGUAA
This 508-nucleotide ribosomal RNA is filed under the name uncultured bacterium. RNAcentral describes it as "partial 16S ribosomal RNA". It matches the Rfam family "Bacterial small subunit ribosomal RNA", at positions 28 to 523 of the family's 1533-position model. The record is from RNAcentral.